This 1550-nucleotide ribosomal RNA is filed under the name Klebsiella pneumoniae. RNAcentral describes it as "bacterial SSU rRNA". It matches the Rfam family "Bacterial small subunit ribosomal RNA". Lineage: Bacteria; Pseudomonadati; Pseudomonadota; Gammaproteobacteria; Enterobacterales; Enterobacteriaceae. The record is from RNAcentral. RNAcentral also lists the same sequence under 1 other name.
AAAUUGAAGAGUUUGAUCAUGGCUCAGAUUGAACGCUGGCGGCAGGCCUAACACAUGCAAGUCGAGCGGUAGCACAGAGAGCUUGCUCUCGGGUGACGAGCGGCGGACGGGUGAGUAAUGUCUGGGAAACUGCCUGAUGGAGGGGGAUAACUACUGGAAACGGUAGCUAAUACCGCAUAACGUCGCAAGACCAAAGUGGGGGACCUUCGGGCCUCAUGCCAUCAGAUGUGCCCAGAUGGGAUUAGCUAGUAGGUGGGGUAACGGCUCACCUAGGCGACGAUCCCUAGCUGGUCUGAGAGGAUGACCAGCCACACUGGAACUGAGACACGGUCCAGACUCCUACGGGAGGCAGCAGUGGGGAAUAUUGCACAAUGGGCGCAAGCCUGAUGCAGCCAUGCCGCGUGUGUGAAGAAGGCCUUCGGGUUGUAAAGCACUUUCAGCGGGGAGGAAGGCGUUAAGGUUAAUAACCUCAUCGAUUGACGUUACCCGCAGAAGAAGCACCGGCUAACUCCGUGCCAGCAGCCGCGGUAAUACGGAGGGUGCAAGCGUUAAUCGGAAUUACUGGGCGUAAAGCGCACGCAGGCGGUCUGUCAAGUCGGAUGUGAAAUCCCCGGGCUCAACCUGGGAACUGCAUUCGAAACUGGCAGGCUAGAGUCUUGUAGAGGGGGGUAGAAUUCCAGGUGUAGCGGUGAAAUGCGUAGAGAUCUGGAGGAAUACCGGUGGCGAAGGCGGCCCCCUGGACAAAGACUGACGCUCAGGUGCGAAAGCGUGGGGAGCAAACAGGAUUAGAUACCCUGGUAGUCCACGCCGUAAACGAUGUCGAUUUGGAGGUUGUGCCCUUGAGGCGUGGCUUCCGGAGCUAACGCGUUAAAUCGACCGCCUGGGGAGUACGGCCGCAAGGUUAAAACUCAAAUGAAUUGACGGGGGCCCGCACAAGCGGUGGAGCAUGUGGUUUAAUUCGAUGCAACGCGAAGAACCUUACCUGGUCUUGACAUCCACAGAACUUUCCAGAGAUGGAUUGGUGCCUUCGGGAACUGUGAGACAGGUGCUGCAUGGCUGUCGUCAGCUCGUGUUGUGAAAUGUUGGGUUAAGUCCCGCAACGAGCGCAACCCUUAUCCUUUGUUGCCAGCGGUCCGGCCGGGAACUCAAAGGAGACUGCCAGUGAUAAACUGGAGGAAGGUGGGGAUGACGUCAAGUCAUCAUGGCCCUUACGACCAGGGCUACACACGUGCUACAAUGGCAUAUACAAAGAGAAGCGACCUCGCGAGAGCAAGCGGACCUCAUAAAGUAUGUCGUAGUCCGGAUUGGAGUCUGCAACUCGACUCCAUGAAGUCGGAAUCGCUAGUAAUCGUAGAUCAGAAUGCUACGGUGAAUACGUUCCCGGGCCUUGUACACACCGCCCGUCACACCAUGGGAGUGGGUUGCAAAAGAAGUAGGUAGCUUAACCUUCGGGAGGGCGCUUACCACUUUGUGAUUCAUGACUGGGGUGAAGUCGUAACAAGGUAACCGUAGGGGAACCUGCGGUUGGAUCACCUCCUUACCUUAAAGAA